UAACGCGUGAGGAACCUACCUUCCAGAGGGGGACAACAGUUGGAAACGACUGCUAAUACCGCAUGACGCAUGACCGGGGCAUCCCGGGCAUGUCAAAGAUUUUAUCGCUGGAAGAUGGCCUCGCGUCUGAUUAGCUAGAUGGCGGGGUAACGGCCCACCAUGGCGACGAUCAGUAGCCGGACUGAGUGGUUGACCGGCCACAUUGGGACUGAGAUACGGCCCAGACUCCUACGGGAGGCAGCAGUGGGGAAUAUUGGGCAAUGGACGCAAGUCUGACCCAGCAACGCCGCGUGAAGGAAGAAGGCUUUCGGGUUGUAAACUUCUUUUGUCAGGGAAGAGUAGAAGACGGUACCUGACGAAUAAGCCACGGCUAACUACGUGCCAGCAGCCGCGGUAAUACGUAGGUGGCAAGCGUUGUCCGGAUUUACUGGGUGUAAAGGGCGUGCAGCCGGGCCGGCAAGUCAGAUGUGAAAUCUGGAGGCUUAACCUCCAAACUGUAUUUGAAACUGUAGGUCUUGAGUACCGGAGAGGUUAUCGGAAUUCCUUGUGUAGCGGUGAAAUGCGUAGAUAUAAGGAAGAACACCAGUGGCGAAGGCGGAUAACUGGACGGCAACUGACGGUGAGGCGCGAAAGCGUGGAGAGCAAACAGGAUUAGAUACCCUGGUAGUCCACGCUGUAAACGAUGGAUACUAGGUGU
Molecule: ribosomal RNA, 697 nt
Filed under: uncultured bacterium
Lineage: Bacteria
Description: bacterial SSU rRNA
Rfam family: Bacterial small subunit ribosomal RNA
Source: RNAcentral